This 586-nucleotide long non-coding RNA is filed under the name Ictidomys tridecemlineatus (thirteen-lined ground squirrel). RNAcentral's name for it is "lncRNA (ENSSTOG00000029714.1)". Lineage: Eukaryota; Metazoa; Chordata; Mammalia; Rodentia; Sciuridae. The record is from RNAcentral.
AAAAGGCUGGAUGCCUGUUUCCAGCUCUGUCAGAAGGCUGGUGGGUUAGGACAGUGACUCACAAGGUGGGAAGGGGCUGCAGAGAGCCCAGGCCUGGAGCUGGCAAGGGCUUCAUGCAGGGCUCCCAGGAGAGCAGGGCUUCCCCCUGGCGGCCCUCAGGAGGUGUCAGCCACAUCUGUGUUGUGGCUUUUGCCCAGGACCAGUGGAUCCUCACAGCCCACAUGACCAGCCUGGGUCUACCAGAGGGAGCCACAGCAUUGUCGAGGAUCUGAAGGUGGCCUGCUGAAUGUAGAGGACGUGUGGAAUGUUUGCUCUGCGGAGACCCCGGCCUGCUUCCCACAGCUGGAGCCCAGGCCCUGCGGGCUUCUGCAGGAGGGUCCACAUGGACAUAUGUCUCCCAAGACGACUCCUCAUCAGGACUCAAGGACGCUUGUCAGGGGACCUGGGGGUGUCAGAAUGACCGACAGCCCGGCCUGACGUUGGGGUUUGCAGCGCAUGCAGCUAUCCUCUCCUGAACUCUCCCCACAGGCUGCAGGGACAGCAGGAGAGACGUCAUUCUGCUCCACAUUCAGUGAGUAUCCUUGAA